GACGAACGCUGGCGGCGUGCCUAACACAUGCAAGUCGAACGGAGCUAAAGAGCUUGCUUUUUAGCUUAGUGGCGGACGGGUGAGUAAUGCGUGAGCAACCUGCCUAUCAGUGGGGGAUAACUUCCGGAAACGGACGCUAAUACCGCAUAUAGUACAUAAUCCGCAUGGAUAAGUGUAUGAAAGGAGCAAUCCGCUGAUAGAUGGGCUCACGUCCGAUUAGUUUGUUGGUGAGGUAACGGCUCACCAAGACUGCGAUCGGUAGCCGGGCUGAGAGGCUGAACGGCCACAUUGGGACUGAGACACGGCCCAGACUCCUACGGGAGGCAGCAGUGGGGGAUAUUGCACAAUGGGGGAAACCCUGAUGCAGCAACGCCGCGUGAGGGAUGAAGGUUUUCGGAUUGUAAACCUCUGUCCUUAGUGAAGAAAAAAAUGACGGUAACUAAGGAGGAAGCUCCGGCUAACUACGUGCCAGCAGCCGCGGUAAUACGUAGGGAGCGAGCGUUGUCCGGAUUUAUUGGGUGUAAAGGGUGCGUAGGCGGCUAUGUAAGUCAGACGUGUAAUGCAGAGGCUUAACCUCUGAACUGCGUUUGAAACUGUGUAGCUUGAGUGGAGUAGAGGCAGAUGGAAUUUCCAGUGUAGCGGUGAAAUGCGUAGAUAUUGGAAGGAACACCAGUGGCGAAGGCGAUCUGCUGGGCUCUAACUGACGCUGAGGCACGAAAGCAUGGGGAGCAAACA
RNAcentral lists this ribosomal RNA (735 nucleotides) under uncultured bacterium. Its description in RNAcentral is "bacterial SSU rRNA". It matches the Rfam family "Bacterial small subunit ribosomal RNA", at positions 28 to 774 of the family's 1533-position model. The record is from RNAcentral.